Molecule: microRNA precursor, 64 nt
Filed under: Echinops telfairi (small Madagascar hedgehog)
Lineage: Eukaryota; Metazoa; Chordata; Mammalia; Afrosoricida; Tenrecidae
Also listed under: 10 other names
Description: Ete-Mir-96-P1_pre stem-loop
Rfam family: mir-96 microRNA precursor family
Source: RNAcentral
UUUGGCACUAGCACAUUUUUGCUUGUGUCUCUCCGCUCUGAGCAAUCAUGUGCAGUGCCAAUAU